AGCCAGGGCAUCUGCUCCAUGUUGUUUGGAUAUUCAUUAAGACCCCCGGCCAACUCACAGAUGGAGAUGAUGAUCUGCUGAGUCCAGAUGGUGCCUGUGAGUAAAGCAGGUUCCAGAUGUCCCUCGCUGCAGCAAUGUCUCCAGUUCCUCCUGCUGUGUUCUGAAACCGUUCCCAGUUCAGCUGAUUUGCCAGCACUUCCACAUUCUGAAGUUUGGGAAGGAAGAAGACGUUUGCGUCUCUUUUAAACUCCAGGAGGAGAGGGCAGAUCUGCUGUGCAGCACCGAUGAUGACCUGAACAUAUUCAAAGCUGAUCUCUUCAGGCAGGUGCAACACCUUCAUGAACACAUGCAGUGAGGUGACCGCCAGCUUCUCCACUGCAUCCAGGAAACAGUCAAGCUUCUUCAAACCUCCCAGAGUGUCCUUCAACACUUCAUCCAGCUCCUUCUCUAGCUCUGCACACCUUUCGUCAUCAUUUAGGGUUACCUUGCUCUUUAGAUAUUCCACAAAAGCCUCACCUUUGUCCUCCGACUUAGUAACAUGGCUGAUGUCAAGGUCAAUUUUGUCUGCCCUGCCCUUGAUGUCCAUCAUCAUUUCUAACUCCGUCUUUCUCGAUGUCUCCCAUUUUGGGAACAUAUGACAGAAUUUUCUCAUUGUGUCGAUGUAAUUGAGAGGAUCUGUGAUGAAGCGGCACAAGACCUGUUUUAGUUCCUCUCUGUAAGACAAAACAUCUAUUUUGAGAUUUAAAAACCAGUUCAAACAUACAUACCAGUAUAGGACAACCUGUUCCUAUGUAUGAAAUAGGUGUUCACGUUUCUUGGUUUUAAUGUCAGAGAGCCAAGUUUAAAGUCUUCAUGACCUAGUAAUGGUUUUAACCCCAAAAUGUACAAUGCUCAUCAUAUUUAUUAUCUAACAAAACCUGAUCCUAUAUAUGUCUAUAUACUUGUCCUUAAUUUUACAGCUUAGAAGAACAGAAUAAAAAAAACAAGAAAUGAAUAACAUAAGAGUCUAAGAGCUUCUCUGCAUCUUCAGUGUGAAACGUCAGGUGCAGUUUGUUUUUAACUGAUUGCAACACCUGCUUUAAAGUUUUUCAAAAUUCAAUCGAAGGAGACAAAAAAUGACAAUAUAAAGACUGUCAGUCAGUAUAGCCUUCCUUAACCCUUUCCUCAGGUUAAUUCAGGACCAGCUCUCCGUUUAAAGGGUUAGAUUCUAUCUGCCUAUUAGCAUUCCACCUAACAGGUUUCAGCAGAAUAAUUAAGCUGGUGUCGAGGAAUACUCGCCUAGGUCCUAACUGUCUUCUUCCAAACGUCUUACCCCUCUUACUUCAAUAAAUACUCUCUCACUAAGCAGCCCUCCUAAGUAGUAGAAUUGAUUUAUUGAUCACGUUUGUUAACAACAACUUUCCUCUUAAAACUGUGGCACUUGUUGAUAUUCCUCGGUUCAUUUUAGAGGUUUGGAAAACUAACCUCAGGGGUAAUGUUUAAAUAACUAGUUGGAUUAAAGUAACCUUUAAGAACCAUUAGAUUUAAUGCACACAAUCAGCUUAACUUUUUACCACUAUGCAGAAAAGGUGAAUCAUAAUAAUCUCAUAAGACGUCUCUUUAAAUGCAAUAUAGCGUUUUAUUAAGUAAUUAUUAGCAGGGGCACAGCAUUAAUUCAUGAUUAAACAAUUAUUUGAUUAUUUCUAACUAAGCUGAGCGUACCUAAGAAUCUUCUCUAAUUAGUAAAUUAGGAGAGAGAGCGGACAGCGCGGCCACCG
This is a long non-coding RNA of Acanthochromis polyacanthus (spiny chromis), 1757 nucleotides long. RefSeq lists it as uncharacterized. The transcript is spliced from 3 exons. The record is from RefSeq and is a predicted model, not a curated record. NCBI's taxonomy places the organism in Eukaryota, Metazoa, Chordata, Actinopteri, Pomacentridae.